UAAAAAGCUCGUAGUCGGAGGUGUGUCUCGGACGGUCGGUUCGCCGCUUGUCGGUGCUCAACUGGCCGGUCCGGACGUCCUGCCGGUGGGGCUGUAAAAGGCUCCGUUAUCCUUCUUUGGUCCUCUUCAUUGAGUGCCUUGGUGGGCCGGCACGUUUACUUUGAACAAAUUAGAGUGCUCAAAGCAGGCCGUUGGUCGCCUGAAUACUGUGUGCAUGGAAUAAUGGAAAAGGACCUCUGUUCCAUUUUGUUGGUUUUCAGAACUAGAGGUAAUGAUUAAUAGGGACGGACGGGGGCAUUCGUAUUGCGACGUUAGAGGUGAAAUUCUUGGAUCGUCGCAAGACGAACCGAUGCGAAAGCAUUUGCCAAGAACGUUUUCGUUGAUCAAGAACGAAAGUUAGAGGUUCGAAGGCGAUCAGAUACCGCCCUAGUUCUAACCAUAAACGAUGCCAGCUAGCCAUCCGCCGAAGUUCCUUAUAUGACUCGGCGGGCAGCUUCCGGGAAACCAAAGCUCUUGGGUUCCGGGG
This 526-nucleotide ribosomal RNA is filed under the name Sieboldius albardae. RNAcentral's name for it is "SSU rRNA". It matches the Rfam family "Eukaryotic small subunit ribosomal RNA", at positions 620 to 1119 of the family's 1831-position model. Lineage: Eukaryota; Metazoa; Arthropoda; Insecta; Odonata; Gomphidae. The record is from RNAcentral.